Molecule: long non-coding RNA, 10859 nt
Filed under: Homo sapiens (human)
Lineage: Eukaryota; Metazoa; Chordata; Mammalia; Primates; Hominidae
Description: HSALNT0085872
Source: RNAcentral
UGAGAUGUUCAUACACAAAUCCAAGAAAUACAGACAGUCUUGACCAGAUAAUAUACAACACGGUCAUCCCCAAGGCACAUAGUCAUCAUAGUCACCAAGGUCAAUCAAAAAAUCUUAAAAGUAGCUAGAGAGAACAGGCACAUCACCUACAGAGGGAACCUCAUCAGGCUAGCAGUGUACUUCUCAGCAAGAACCUUACAAGCCGGAAGAGAUUGGGGGCCUGUUUUCAGUGUUCUUAAGGAAAGAAAAUUCCAGUCAAUAAUUUCAUAUCCUGCCAAAUUUAUCUUCAUAAGUGAAGAAGAAAUAAAAUCCUUCUCUGGCAAGCAAAUGUUGAAGAAAUACAUUUCAAUUAGACCAGCCAUACAGAAGGACUUUAAGAGAUUGAUAAGAAUGAAGCCAAAAGAACCACACCUGCUACCACAAGAGCACACUUAAGCACAUAGCUCACAGGCACUAUAGAAGAACUACACAAUCAAGCCUACAUAAAUACCAGCUAACAACACUACAGGAUUAAUAUCACACAUAUCAACACUAAACUUGAAUAGAAAUGUGCUAAAUCCCCCAUUUAAAAGGCACAGAGUGGCAGGCUGGAUAAAAAGACAAGACCCAACCAUCUUUUGUCUUGCAGAGACCCAUCUCACAUGUAACAACACCCACAGCCAAAAAGUAAAAGGGAAGAGUGAGACCUUCCAUGCAAAUGUAAAACAAAAUAAAACACAAAGCACUAUUUUUAUGUCAGAUAAAAUGCAACUUAAGUCAAUAAAAAUUAAGAAGCACAUUGAAGAGCAUUACAUGAUGAUAAAGAAUGCAAUCCAACAAGAAACUUUACCCCCUAUAUAUAUGCACCCAACAUUGGAGCACCCAGAUUUAUAAAACAACUUUUUCUUGGCAUAAAAAAAGACUUAGACAACCACACAAUAAUAUUGUGAGACUUCAACACCCUGCUGACAGCAUUCGACAGACUAUCAAGUCAAAACAAAACAAAACAACAAAAACAAAGAACCUCUGGACUUAAAUUCAACUCUUGACCAAUUGGACAUAAUAGACAUCUAUAGAAAACUCCAUCCAACAACCACAGAAUAGACAUUCUUCAAACUUGCACAUGAAACAUGUUUUAAGAUCAGCUAUAUUCUUAGUCAUAGGGCAAACCUCCAUAAAUUAAAAAGCUUGAAAUCAUACCAUGUACACUCUUGAACACAGUGCAAUCAAAAUAGAAGUUAACAGCAAGAAGAUUUCUCAAAACAACACAAAUACACAGAAAUUUAAAAACUUAUGCCUGAAUAACUCCUGGGUGAACAUCAAAAUUAAGGCAGAAAUAAAAAUUCUUUGAAAUUAAUAAAACUAGAGACACAACUUACAAAAAUAUCUGAGAUGUAGCUAAAGCAGUACCAAGGGGAAAGUUUAUAGUCCUAAAUGCUUUUAUCAAGAAGUUAGAAAUGUCUCAAAUUAACAAUGUAAGUUUGCACCUGAAGAAUCUAGGCAGAAAAAGAAAAUACCAAACCAACUCUGAAGCUAGCAAGAGAAAAGAAAUAACUAAAAUUAGAGAACUUACUGAAAUUGAGAUGCAAAAAUCCGCAUAAAACUUCAAUGAAAACAAGAGUUGGUGAUUUGAAAAGACAAAUAAGAUUGAUAGAGAUCCCCUGGCUUGGUUAACAAAUACAAAGAGAAGAUCCAAGUAAGCACGAUCAGUAAUGACAAAGAUGAUACUACAACUGAUCACUCAGAAACACAGAAGAUCCUCAGAUACCACUAUGAACAACUCUAUGCUCAAAAAUUUAAAAAUCUAGAGGAAAUGGAUAAAUUCCUGGGAGCACAAAAUCUCCCAAGAUUGGAUCAGGAAGAGUUUGAAACCCUGAAUAGACAAAUACCAACUUCUGAAGAACCUACCAACGAAAAGAAACUGCGGGCCAGAUAGAUUCAUAGCCAAAUUCUACCAGACAUACCAAGAAAAGCUAAUACCAAUUCUACUGCAGCUAUUCCAAAAAUUGAGGAACAAGGACCCCUUGCUAACUCAUUCUAUGAAUCCAACAUCAGCUUUAUGCCAAAAUUUGGCAGAGACACAACAAAAAAAGAAAACAUCAGACCAAUAUCUCUCAUGAUUAUAUAUGCAAAAGUCCUCAACAAAAUACUAGCAAAUUUAAUCCAGCAGCACAUCAAAAAGUUAACACACCACAAUCAAGUAGGCAUUAUUCCUAGAAUGCAAAGCUGAUUCAACAUGCACACAUUAAUAAAUGUGAUUUACCGCAUAAACAGAACCAAAAGCGAAAACCGUAUGAUCAUCUCAAUAGAUGCGGAAAAGGCAUUUGAUAAAAUCCAACAUCCCCUCAUGACAAAAUCCUCAAAAACCUAGGCAUCAAAGAAACAUACCUCAAAAUAAUAAGAGCCAUCUUCGACAAACCCACAGUAAACAUCCUACUGAAUGGACAAAAGCUGGAAGCACUCCCCUUGAGAACUGGAGCAAGAUAAAGAUGUCCACUCACACCACUCUUACUCAACACAGUACUGGAAUUACUAGACAGAGCAGUCAGGCAAAAAAAAAAAAAAGUUAUAAAAGGCAUCUAAAUAAGAAAAGAAGUCAAACUGUGUCUCUUCAUUGACGAUAUGAUUCUGGACCUAGAAAAUCCUAGAGACUCUGACAUAAGGUUACUAGUAUUGAUAAAGGAUUUGUAUUCAGUAAAGUUUCUGGAUACAAAAUUAAGGAACAAUAAUCAGUAGCAUUUUUACUCAACAACAACUGAGAGUGAAAUCAGGAACACAAUCCCACUUACAAUAACCACAAAGAAAAUAAAACACCUAGGAAUACAGCUAACCAAGGAGGUGAAAGAUCUCCAUAAGGAGAACUACCAAACACUGCAGAGAGAAAUCAGAGAUGACACAAAUAAAUGGAAAAACAUUUCAUGCUCAUGAAUUGGAAGAAUCAAUGUCAUAAAAAUGGCCAUGCUGCCCAAAGCAAUUUACAGAUUCAAUGAUAUUACUAUCAAACUAUCAAUGUCAUUCUUCACAGAAUUGGGGAAAAAAGUAUGCUAAAAUUCACAUGGAACCAAAAAAGAGCCUGAAUUGUGAAAGCUAUCCUAAGUAAACAGAACAAAGCCAGAGGCAUUGCACUACCUUACUUCAAACUGUAGUAUAAAGCCAGAGUAAUCAAAACAUUUUGUACUGGUACAAAAACAGGCAUGGAGAAAAAUGGAACAGAAUAGAAGACUCAGAAAUAAAGUCACACACCUACAAUCAUCUGAUCUAUGACAAGGCUGAUGAAAACAAGCACUGGGGAAAGGACUCCCUAUUCAAUAAAUGGUGCUGAGAUAACUGGCUAGUCAUAUGCAGAAGACUGAAGCCACACCCCUUCCUUUUGCCAUAUAAAAAAUUAAUUCAAAAUGGAUUAAAGAUUUAAAUGUAAAACCUCAAAGUAUAAAAAUCCUGGAAGACAACCUAAGAAAUACUCUUCUCGACAUCAGUCUUGGCAAGAAAUUUUUAACUAAGUCUCUGAAAGAAAUCACAACAAAACCAAAAAUAAAGUGGGACCUAAUUAAACUAAAAAUCUCCUGAACAGAGAAAUAAACUAUCAACAGAGCAAACAGACAACCCACAGAAUGGGAGAAGAUAUUUGCAAACCAUGCAUCUGACAAAGGUAUAAUAUCCUGAUUUUGUAGGUUACUUAAACAAAUUAACAAGUGAAAACCAAAUAAUCCCAUUAAAAAAUGGACAAAGGAUACUAACAAACCCUUCUCAAAACAAAAAAAAGACAUAUAAGGGGCCAAUGAACAUAUGAAAAUAUGCUUCGCAUGACUAAUCAUUAGAAAAAUGCAAAUCAAAACCACAGUCAGAUACCGUCUCAGACCAGUCAGAAUGGCUAUUAUUAAAAGAACAACAGAUGCUGGUGAGGCUUGGGAGAAAAUGUAACACUAUACACUCCUGAUGGAAAUGAAAAUUAGUACAGCCACGGUGAAAAGCAGUGUGAACAUUUCUCGUGUAACUUACAAUAGAGCUACCAUUUGACCCAGCAAUCUCAUAUUAGAUAUAUACCCAAAGAAAAUAAACCAUUUUCCCAAAAAGAUACAUGCGCUUGUAUGUUCAUUCCUGUGCUAUUCACAAUAGCAAAGACAUGUAAUCAACCCAGGUGCCCACCAAUGAUAGAUCAGAUAAAGACAAUGUGGUACAUAUAUACCAUGGAAUUCUACACAGUCAUGAAAGAAUGAAAUCAAGUCCUUUGCAGCAACAUGAAUGGGGCUGGAGGUCAUAAUUCUAUGCAAAUUAAUGCAGAAACAGAAAACCAAAUACCACAUGUUCUCACUUAUAAGUGGUAGCCAAACAUUGAAUACAAAUGGACAAAAAUAUGGGAACAGUAGUUAUUGAGGACUACUAUGGAGGAUGGGGAGUGUGUGAAUUAAAAGAAACUACCUACUGGGGACUAUGCUCACGUUUGGAGUGUCAGUAUCUGUACUCCAAGCGUCAACAUCAUGCAGUAUUCCCAUGUAACAAGUCUGCAUGUGUACCCUGUAUCUAAAAUAAAUAUUAAGAAAAACAGCAAAAAAAUCACACAAAAAAUAAAAACAAAAACAAACAACAAAUCUAAAAAAUAUUUGUGAAGUUUUUACUCUCCUUGUUUCAACCCCCUUGGGCAUGGCGGCACUUUUGAAGAGAGAUGUCCACAUUCCCAGAGUAAUACUCUGGUCUCUGGUUGUGGAGGAACCAGAACAGACUCUAUUUGCAAAUUAUUUUGUGUGUGUAUUCUCACCUGUAUGAAGGCCACUUGAGGGAGUGACGUAAGGCAUUCAUAUCUGUUUCAAUUAAUUUAGAAUCCAGGCCAGGAAGCAAGCACUGGACAUUGCUCAAAAACACUGCAAGCCAACCCAAUAACCUGCAGACUCCUGUGGCAAAGAACACGCUGAAACAUGCAAUAGACUACCUGUAGCUUGGGAGUAAAAGCUAGAAAGAGUUCCUUUGGGAAGCUAAGACAUUCAAAAGCACGUUCAUAUGAGGAGAAAUUUAGGAGGCUGUGCUCAGGUCCAGAGCAAGACAAAAUGCUUAGAAAAAUCUAGGAAGACACAAACCUAUCAUUUUUAGUUGAUUCUUAGUCUCAGUACAAGCCUGGUAAAGUGCUGAAGGAGCAUCCCCUUCAGACUCGGAAAAGUGUUUUUUUGUUUGGUUGGUUGGCUGGUUUUAGCUGUUGGCAUUAUCCUUCAAAGGAAAUCUCUGUUAAAACACUGGGUAAACACUAACUAAGGUACAGAGACGUUUUUGACUACAUACAACGGAUACAGCCUUUACAAAAAUAGUUUGAAAAAGACACUAAGCAAAUUGACUACUAUAGCUUUCCAUUGAAACAACCACAGGCAACAACAAAAUAACAACAAACUCUGGGGAAGGGAGAAAAUCUAAUUUCUAAAAUUACUUCAUUACAAUAUUCAAAUGUCCACCUUUAACAAAAGUAUCACAAGGUGUACAAAGUAACAGAAAAAUAUGCUGAUUCAAAGUAGUGAAAUAUGUGGAUUCUCUCUAAUGGAGCCAAAACUUUGGACUUACAAGACAAUAACUUUAAAAUAACCGUCUUGCAAUGGAUCUGUUAAUAAGCCUGAUUUAGCCAUUCUACAAUGUAUACAUAUAUGAAAACAUCAUGUUGCACAGCAUAAAUGUAUACAACCUUAUUAGUCAGUUAUAAAUAAUUCAAUAUGUAAAUAAAAUUUUUAAAACAAAAAACAACUGUGUUAAGUAUGCUAAACUCUAAACAUUAAAAGAAAACAUUAACAAAUAACUGUGGGAAAUCAGGGAAAUAGUAUAUAUACAAAAUAAGAAUAUUAAGAAAUAUAAAUUUUAACAAAGAAACAAUCAGAAAUUCUGGAGCUAAAAAGCACAAUAACUAAGCAAAAAAAAAUCAGUGUACUUGAAGAUAAUACAAACGAAAUGAUUAAUUCUGAGAGGCAGAAAGAAAACAAGGGUGAAAAAAUGAACAGAGCAUAAGGGGAUUAUAGAGCACCACCAAGGACACCAACAAAUGCAUUAUGGGAGGCCCAGAAGACAAAGGAUGGGGGAAGAAAUAUGAUGUAAUAAUGGCUGAAAACUCCCAAAUUUAAUAAAGACAUGAAUCUACAACCAAGAAGACAUACAAACAUAAAUAGGAUGAAUUCAAGAGACUCACCAAAUUUACAACCAAACUUGAAAGGAGCAAGAGAGGAGCAACUCAUCACAUACAAAAGAUUCUCAAUAAGAUUAACAGCAAUUUAUCAGCAAAAACCAAGAAGGCAAGAAGACAGUGUGGUGAUAUAUGUAAGGUACUGAAAAAAAUUAUCUACCAAAAAUUUUAAUUUGGCAAAAUUGUCCUUUAAAAAUUAGGGUAAAAUUAAGACAUUUCAAAGUAAACAAAAGCUGAGAGAAUUCAUUAUCACUGGAACCGCCCCACAAGGAAUGCCAAAGGGAGUCCUUCAGGUUAACAUGAAAGGGCACUGAACAGUAAUUCAAUGCCAUAUGAAGAAAUAAGAACCUCUGGUAGAGACAAAUAUAUGGACCAAUACAAAACCAGUAUUAUUGUAUUUUUGGCUUAUAACUCUACUUUUCUUUCAUACAGAUUUUAAAAGAGAGAUACAUAACAAAUUAUAUAAAAUUAAUGUUGUGUGAAAAAUGAAUAAAGACAGAUUAUAACAACGUAUGUGUGGGAUGUAUGAGACUUUAUAUGUACAGAAUGUUUUAUGUUACUGAAAUUAAGUUGGUAUCAAUUUGAACUAGAUUGUCAUAAAUUUAGGGUAUUAAAUGUAACACGUGUGGUAACCAUUAAGAGAAAAUCUAAAAGGUAUAGAGAAAAUGAUUGAAAGGGAAACUAUGGUUUACUGAAAAUAAAACAACUAAAUAUAAAAUAUGUCAGUAAUGGAGGAAAUGAAGGAUGGAAAAUCUGUAAGACAUACAGAAAACAAACUCAUACAUCUACGGCAUAUUUACUUUUGACAAAGGUUAUCAAAUUUAUUCAAUGGCAAAUUAACAGCCUCUUCAACAAAUGAUGUUAGGACCACUGGAUAUUCACAUGCAAAAUAAUAAAACUAGACUCCUAUCUCAAACAUAUAUGAAAAUUCACUUAAGAUGCAUCAAUCUCCUAAAUAUAAAAGCUAACCCUAAACUGUUAGGAGAAAAUAUAGAGGUAAAUAUUAAUUACUUUGAAUUUGACAAUAGAUUUUUAGAUAUGACAAAAGCAUGAGCAACAAAAGAAAAAAACAAAUAAAUAGGGCUUUAUAAAUGACAACAAAUGAACAAAAAUAUUUGCAAAUUAAAGAACAUUAGGAAGAAAGUAAAAAAAACUUACAAAAUAAAGAAAAUAUUUGCAAAUUAUACAUUUGAUAAGAGAUAAUGAUCCAUCCAGAUUGUACAAAGAAUCCCUUCAACUCAACACCAAUAACAAUCUAAUUAUAAAAUAGGCAAAGUAUUUGAAUAGACAUUUAUUUAAAGAAGCUAUGUAAAUAGCUUAUAAGCACAUUAAAAUGCUCAACAUCAUUAGUCGUUAUGGAAAUGCGUAUCAAAACCUUGCUGAUGUAUCAUGCCAUACUUACAAGGUUGAAAAUAAUUUUUGAAAAUGGGGAAUAACAAGUAUUAAGCUAUGGAGAAGUUGGAAACUUCCUUCAUUGCUGAUGGGAGUGUAAAACAGUGUAACCUCUGUGGAAAAGUUUGGCAGUGUUAAAAAAUAGUAAACAGAAUUACCAUAUAACACAGUAAUUCCACUCAUAGGUAUAUACACUAGAAAUAAUUGAAAAUAGAGACUCAAACAGACACUUGUAUGUUUAUUAUAGUACUAUUCACAAAAGCCAAAAACUGGAAACAACAGAUGAAUGGAUAAAUAAAGUGUAGUAUGUAUGCACAAUGGAAUAGCAUUCAACAAUAAAAAAAAUUAGAUUCUGAUACAUGUUGCAACAUGGAUGAUCUUUAAAAACAUUAUGCUAAGUGAAGCUAGACACAAUAGGACAAAUAUAAUUCUAUGUAUAGGAAAUAUUUUAAAUGGCCAGUUCAUAGAAGUUUAGAGCUUACUAGGGUCUGAAGGAACAGGGAAUGGGGAGUUAUUGCUUAAUGUUAUAGUGUUUCUGUUUGGAGUAAUAUAAACAUUUUGUACAUAGAUAGUGGUGAUGGUUGCACAACAUUGUGAAUAUAAUUAAUACCACUGAACUGUGCUUAAAAAUAGUUAAAUGGCAAUUUUAUGCCACAUAUAUUUCACUAAAAUAAAAACUACUUUAAAACACACUAUUGAAGAAAGCAAGCUCACUUCACUAGCCAAGAAGAUUUAGUAAAUUAAUCCAUUCCUGAUAAAUGUCACAUUUAAACUGAGUCUAUAUUCUGUUAUUAUUUUUAGUUCAAGGUAAAUAAAUGGAUUGCGUGAUACAAAUAGACAAAGCAAAUGGAGGCAAAGUGAUAUAUUGCCAGGUGUUAUGACCACAUCUUUGCUCAAUCAUAGUUAAGUGUCUAUUCUAAACAUACUCUAAUAAAACUGAGAGGUGGUCUAUGUCACCUCUCAGAUUAGAUUUUGAAGCCUGAAGUUCCCAUCUUGUUUCUCUGUCUCCCUGUCUCUCUCUCUCUCUGUUUUGUUCUCUCUCUCAUUAUUCACUUUGGGGAAAGCAACCACCGUGUCUUCAGAACACUCAAGGCAUCCCUAUGGAGACAGCUCAAGGCAGCAAACUGAGGCAUCAACCACCAGGCCAGUGAGUAAAUGUGUCUUCAGAUGCAGUCCCAGCUGAAGCCAUGUCUGCAACCUUACCAUGACCCUGAGUCAGAAACAUCCAGCCGAGCCUCCACCUUUUCUGUCUUUGCCACCAUGAGACAGCGACCAAUCUCUUCUGCUUCUCCUCCUCCUCAGUCUACUGAAUGUGAGGACAAUGAGGAUGAAGACUUUUGUGAUGAUCUACUUCCACUUAAUGAUUAGGUUCUACAAGGACAGAGAAAUGUCUGAGGUCAGGACAAGUCAAGAAGGACUCAAGUACCUGACUAAAGGUUUACUCAAAGGAAACAGUCUUUGUCACAGAAGAUUAGGACACAGAUAUGUACACAGGGAAGAUCAUGCAAAAUGAGAGCCAUCUACAAGCCAAGGACAGAAGUCUCAGAAAGAAACCAGCUGUGCUGACAUCUUGAUCUUGGACUUGUAGCCUCCUGAACUGUGAAAGGUGCUCACUGCCGCAAUCACAUUGCAGACCAUGGAAAGGGAGCAAAGACGAACUCCUGAGCAAGCAGCUUUUCUUUAAUUUGCAGAUAUUCUGAAAAUUGACCACAUCAGAUAUGCUUACGUCUAAUUAAACUGAAAUCUAAUCACAUAAACACCAAUGGCUGAAACAGAGGCUGGGAAAUCUACAUUUUAGAUAUGUUUUACCUACAGAUGUACUAAUUUGCAUUUGCCAGGGCACUGUAAAAUCUCUGAGUGAAUUCUCUUUCUUAUGCUCCCUGAAUUUGAGCAUUUCUGCCCAUUUGCAAUUCCAGAAAUUGUCUAACUUUGUUCAUUUGAAUAUUGUGUCCCCAAAGCAAUAUCAUUUUCUGGGAAAUCUUAAAUAUGUUGACCUCUGUCAUUUGGGAUUCUAUUUCGAUUUACCUCUGUUUUAUAUAUUGCAACUGUUUAAUCACUUGGUGCUUUAUUAUGAAUUACUUCUUCAUAUCUUUCUUUUUACUAAUUAUCUAUAGAUUAAUCUAACUUUCUACUUUAUAUAGCCAUUUCAUUUUAAUCUCAGUGCCUAAUCUACUCAACAUAAAUAUAUACAGAUAUAAAAUUAUGUUCUAUAAGUUCUAUUUUACUUAUUUCUAAAUAUUUCAAUGCUUUUUUCAUAAUGCAGCCCCCAUAACGGAUUCUUUAUGUCUUAAAUACUCAUAUAUGUAUGCAUAUAAAUUUAUUUAUUUUUAAAUCUGUCUAAGCUACUUUAAUUUGAAAUUUAUUGGUGUAAAUAAUUUGGCUGUUGAUUGUGUUGGCAGUCUUAUUUACCGAGGAUAAGCUCUUCAUGAGUUCUGACUUGGGAUUAUUUAUUUAUCUUUAGAUCGCUAUUAUCAGUGCUAAUUGAGUGAGGUUUGAUAUGAACUUUGUGGUUGGGCUGUGGAAAGGAGCCCCACUUGGUCCAGAGUCUGAGAGUAAAAUGGGUCCCACUCUUGCUCGCUUGCCUGUGGAGCCUCACACCCCUCUGGGUUGGCACUUGCUUCUGCUAUUGCAGGUUCCAAGUAUAGGCUUGCCUGGCCCAGCCCUGCUAGCUUCAUUGACUCCCACCCUUACCCUACACCUCAGAGGCCGAACUAGGGACCUCUGAACCACUGAAUGUUCCAUUGGCCAACCUAUCACCUGGGACACCCACGUACCCCACCUGGUUAACAAAGAUCGAGCAUAAACCCACUAUCACUGCUGCAGUUGGCUGUCACAUGCAAGUGCUACCUACGGGCGUGAAAGUCAACCUGCACAGUCCAUCACAUCUGCUGACAGAAGUGCACAGCGCUUGGGAAAAAGACAAGCUUCUCACUACCUCUGCUCUCUGCUACUGCCAUCACCCACAUCAUCCCAGCUACCCAGAAGGCUGUGAGCUCACUCACCUGCCCAGUACACGACUACUACAACUGGCAUUUGAGAAUGCCGCCACCCUAAGGCUAUUUAUAAUCAAGGAAACCACACUGAGUAUUCUCCACUGAAGCACUCCAGAAGCAAAGCCAAAUGACCUCCAUCAACAUAUAUCCUAGUCACAUCCUGAAAAAAAGUCCUGCCCCAAUGAAUGUAAAUUGAAAAAGAAGAAGUGACUGUUUCUUCAGGUGUGAAGAAAUCAGUGUAAUAAUACUGGAACUAUGAAAAAGCAAAAUGCCAUUACUGGGUAUAUACCCAAAGGACUAUAAAUCAUGCUUCUAUAAAGACACAUGCACACGUAUGUUUAUUG